GGUCAUCUUCACCUUACUUCCCCCUGAAGAACUGGGUUGUUGUGCUUCCACAACAGGGGCUACUGGUUCAGGAGGUGGUGGUGGAGGAACUGGUUCCCUCACUUCAGGCUGUACUGGACUUGGUUGAACAGGUGGGGGUGGAUACAUGUGAUAUGGUGGAUAAAAGGAAGGAUAGGGCAUAUAGGGCAUGUAGGGUGGAUAUGGG
This 205-nucleotide long non-coding RNA is filed under the name Manihot esculenta (cassava). RNAcentral describes it as "long non-coding RNA (MESC_LNC012058)". The record is from RNAcentral. Lineage: Eukaryota; Viridiplantae; Streptophyta; Magnoliopsida; Malpighiales; Euphorbiaceae.